AGAGUUGAUCCUGGCUCAGGAUGAACGCUGGCGGCGCGCUUAACACAUGCAAGUCGAACGGUUAAAGCACCUUCGGGUGUGUAUAAAGUGGCGAACGGCUGAGUAACACGUGGGCAACCUGCCCCUCGCACCGGGAUAGCCUCGGGAAACCGUGGGUAAUACCGGAUACUCCGCCCACCCCGCAUGGGGAGGGCGGGAAAGCGUACACGGCGGGGGAUGGGCCCGCGGCCUGUUAGCUCGUUGGCGGGGUAACGGCCCACCAAGGCGACUAUGGGUAGCCGGGUUGAGAGACCGACCGGCCAGAUUGGGACUGAGACACGGCCCAGACUCCUACGGGAGGCAGCAGUGGGGAAUCUUGCACAAUGGGCGAAAGCCUGAUGCCAGCGACGCCGCGUGCGGGAAGAAGGCCCUCGGGUUGUAAACCGCUUUCAGCAGGGACGAGGCGCGAGUGACGGUACCUGCAGAAGAAGCCCCGGCUAACUACGUGCCAGCCGCGGC
This 498-nucleotide ribosomal RNA is filed under the name uncultured bacterium. RNAcentral describes it as "bacterial SSU rRNA". It matches the Rfam family "Bacterial small subunit ribosomal RNA", at positions 8 to 518 of the family's 1533-position model. The record is from RNAcentral.